RNAcentral lists this ribosomal RNA (253 nucleotides) under uncultured bacterium. RNAcentral describes it as "partial 16S ribosomal RNA". It matches the Rfam family "Bacterial small subunit ribosomal RNA", at positions 524 to 776 of the family's 1533-position model. The record is from RNAcentral.
UACGGGGGGGGCAAGCGUUGUUCGGAAUUACUGGGCGUAAAGGGCUUGUAGGUGGCCAACUAAGUCAGACGUGAAAUCCCUCGGCUUAACCGGGGAACUGCGUCUGAUACUGGAUGGCUGGAGUGUGGGAGAGGGAUGCGGAAUUCCAGGUGUAGCGGUGAAAUGCGUAGAUAUUGGGAGGAACACCAGUGGCGAAGGCGGCUCACUGGACCGGUACUGACGCUGAGGCGCGAAAGCGUGGGGAGCAAACAGG